AGAGUUUGAUCCUGGCUCAGAUUGAACGCUGGCGGCAUGCCUUACACAUGCAAGUCGAACGGCAGCAUGGGUGCUUGCACCUGAUGGCGAGUGGCGAACGGGUGAGUAAUGCAUCGGAACGUACCCGGAAGUGGGGGAUAACGUAGCGAAAGUUACGCUAAUACCGCAUACGCCCUGAGGGGGAAAGUGGGGGACCGCAAGGCCUCACGCUAUACGAGCGGCCGAUGUCGGAUUAGCUAGUUGGUAGGGUAAAGGCCUACCAAGGCGACGAUCCGUAGCGGGUCUGAGAGGAUGAUCCGCCACACUGGGACUGAGACACGGCCCAGACUCCUACGGGAGGCAGCAGUGGGGAAUUUUGGACAAUGGGCGCAAGCCUGAUCCAGCCAUGCCGCGUGAGUGAAGAAGGCCUUCGGGUUGUAAAGCUCUUUCAGACGGAAAGAAAUCGGUGUGUCUAAUACACGCACUGGAUGACGGUACCGUAAGAAGAAGCACCGGCUAACUACGUGCCAGCAGCCGCGGUAAUACGUAGGGUGCGAGCGUUAAUCGGAAUUACUGGGCGUAAAGCGUGCGCAGGCGGUUAUGUAAGACAGAUGUGAAAUCCCCGGGCUCAACCUGGGAACUGCGUUUGUGACUGCAUAACUAGAGUACGG
RNAcentral lists this ribosomal RNA (650 nucleotides) under uncultured bacterium. RNAcentral's name for it is "bacterial SSU rRNA". It matches the Rfam family "Bacterial small subunit ribosomal RNA", at positions 8 to 651 of the family's 1533-position model. The record is from RNAcentral.